This 467-nucleotide ribosomal RNA is filed under the name uncultured bacterium. RNAcentral's name for it is "partial 16S ribosomal RNA". It matches the Rfam family "Bacterial small subunit ribosomal RNA", at positions 28 to 506 of the family's 1533-position model. The record is from RNAcentral.
GACGAACGCUGGCGGCGUGCUUAACACAUGCAAGUCGAACGGAAAGGCCCUGCUUUUGUGGGGUGCUCGAUUGGCGCACGGGUGAGUAACACGUGAGUAACCUCCCCUUAACUUUGGGAUAACUCCUCGAAACAGGGGCUAAUAUCGGAUAGGAGCUCCUGCUGCAUGGUGUGGGUUGGAAAGUUGCGGCGGUUGUGGAUGGACUCGCGGCUUACCAGCUUGUUGGUGGGGUAGUGGCUUACCAAGGCUUUGACGGGUAGCCGGCCUGAGAGGGAGACCGGCCACAGUGGCACUGAGAUGCGGCCCGUACUGCAACGGGAGGCAGCAGUGGGGAAUAUUGCACAAUGGGCGGAAGCAUGAUGGAGGAUCGCCGCGUGCGAGAUGACGGUCUUCGGGUUGUAAACCACUUUCGCGUGUGACGAAGCGUGAGUGACGGUAAUGGGUAGAGAAGCACCGGCUAACUACGU